UGAAGCUGGAAUCGCUAGUAAUCGCAGAUCAGAAUGCUGCGGUGAAUACGUUCCCGGGUCUUGUACACACCGCCCGUCACAUCAUGGGAGUCGGAAAUGCCCGAAGCCGGUGACCAAACCAAUAAGGAAGGAGCCGUCGAAGGCAGGUCUGAUAACUGGGGUGAAGUCGUAACAAGGUACC
This 181-nucleotide ribosomal RNA is filed under the name uncultured bacterium. RNAcentral describes it as "partial 16S ribosomal RNA". It matches the Rfam family "Bacterial small subunit ribosomal RNA", at positions 1321 to 1500 of the family's 1533-position model. The record is from RNAcentral.